GAUCGAGUUCGAGGUGGGUACCCGUGUAACUUGAAUAGUAACAUAAUCGGGUUCAGGUAGCGGGUACCCAAGAGGUACUACCCCGAACCUGAUAUGGGUAGUGAAAUCACUAUCCGAACCCGUCCUAAACUUGAUUAUAGGGUAUCUUAAUCCGAUAUAACCNUAUAUAACAGUAAUUAUAUUUCUUAUAAAUGAACUCAAUAUAUAUAAUGUAUAAAUAUUUAAAAACAUUCCAAGUUAAUUAAUAAUUAUAGUUUUAUGAAUUAAUUUAAUUAACAAUAUUGGUUUGUUUUUAAUUAUAUGAAAUUAAAAAAAAUAAGUUGACAAACUACUUUAAUCUCACAAUCUCCUUUUAGGUAUAUAUAUUAUUAUGAGGUUAUAAUUUUUGUAAUGUUAACAUAAAAUUGAAAGUAAAUAUGUUUAUAUUUGAAGUAUAUAUAUAAUAGUAAUUAUAUUCUUUUUAAUAUGAUAUGAUAUUCAUAUUGUUUAAACAUAAUUAAUAAUCUAAUAAUUUUUAAUUUAAAUAUAUUAAUAACAUCACAUUAAUAAUUUGACUAACCAUAUUUUUAAUAUAUUUGUCAGCUUUUAAUAAAUAUAUUAAUGUUGAUUUUUUUAAUUUAAUCAUUUAAAUAACAACAAAAUAUAUAUAAACAGGUAUUGGGAUCGAGUUCGAGGUGGGUACCCGUGUAACUUGAAUAGUAACAUAAUCGGGUUCAGGUAGCGGGUACCCAAGAGGUACUACCCCGAACCUGAUAUGGGUAGUGAAAUCACUAUCCGAACCCGUCCUAAACUUGAUUAUAGGGUAUCUUAAUCCGAUAUAACCGGGUUGGAUACCUGUGGGUAUCUUAUAAUAGGGUAUGCAUUGCCAUCCCUACACAUUAAUAUGUAAUUCCAAUACAGUGAACAUGAUGUGGAACAUGGUGGACUUUUUCUUUUUCCUCUCUUUUUCUUUCAUCGAAUGAUAUGAAUCAGUGACAUAGUAUUAGUUGGAGCUACUAUCUUAAUAAAGCUGCAUAGUACUUUGUGAUAGCUAUGCUUUUGGACCC
RNAcentral lists this long non-coding RNA (1046 nucleotides) under Theobroma cacao (cacao). RNAcentral describes it as "long non-coding RNA (TCAC_LNC003634)". The record is from RNAcentral. Lineage: Eukaryota; Viridiplantae; Streptophyta; Magnoliopsida; Malvales; Malvaceae.